RNAcentral lists this small nucleolar RNA (67 nucleotides) under Choloepus hoffmanni (Hoffmann's two-fingered sloth). RNAcentral's name for it is "Small nucleolar RNA SNORD112 (ENSCHOG00000016074.1)". Lineage: Eukaryota; Metazoa; Chordata; Mammalia; Pilosa; Megalonychidae. The record is from RNAcentral.
UGGACCAAUGAUGAAAGGGUAUCAUGAAACAAGGAUUAUGAUUAAUCCAAUUCCAAAGACAUCCCAC